This 481-nucleotide long non-coding RNA is filed under the name Gossypium raimondii (Peruvian cotton). Its description in RNAcentral is "long non-coding RNA (GRAI_LNC009725)". The record is from RNAcentral. Lineage: Eukaryota; Viridiplantae; Streptophyta; Magnoliopsida; Malvales; Malvaceae.
GUGGGACUACCAGAGGAGCUUAAAGAUAUACGAGUACUCUUAGAUCAACGACCAGAUGCGGAGGUAUAUUUUUUUUAAAAUUUCAAUUAUAUAAUAUUAACGUAGUUGAUUUAAAAAUUAAUAGUAAAUAUAUAAUUAAAAUUAUUGUCCUAUAGUUUGAAUUGAUUUCAUACUCUAAUCUGAGAAUUCAAGCAUGCAUCCUAUUCGAAUUCUUAGUGAAUCCCAAUAUCUGGCACGUGAAGAUGUCAUAGGUAGUGUACACUACGGUGAAGAUGCAUGAAUCUGAUAGAGUUACGUGACAGUUCAGGUUUAAGCAAAUGAUUAUGUCGGCACCCCAAGAUAUCAAAGAUCUGCACAAUACCGACUAACGGGGAAAAUUGAUAAAAAUUGUGUUACAUUCCAUGCGCAACAUAUCAACAUAUGGAACCAUAGGUUCAACUUUAUACCUAAUUGCAAAGCCAUUGUCGCUACGGAACUAGCC